CUAGAUAAAAUUUCUCAUACAAUAACUAUUAACAUUAAUGUUCCCAGGGGAAAAAAAACCUUCAGAUAUUGGAAAAAGAAAAAUGAUGGAAAAAAUAAAAAAAAGAAGCAUCCCAAUCACUCUCCAGCUACAAGCAUCCUACUAAAAAAGACAUGGUUGAACCACAAAAGAUUUGAGGAAAAUAAUGACUUGAGUACCAAAGUGCCUGCCCACCAAUUCCAGAGGGACCCAUUCAGAUAAAGCCUCUCACUAGCAGCCAUAACAUGAAACGCAAUAGAUG
Molecule: unclassified non-coding RNA, 280 nt
Filed under: Hevea brasiliensis (rubber tree)
Lineage: Eukaryota; Viridiplantae; Streptophyta; Magnoliopsida; Malpighiales; Euphorbiaceae
Source: RNAcentral